This 511-nucleotide ribosomal RNA is filed under the name uncultured bacterium. Its description in RNAcentral is "partial 16S ribosomal RNA". It matches the Rfam family "Bacterial small subunit ribosomal RNA", at positions 28 to 522 of the family's 1533-position model. The record is from RNAcentral.
GAUGAACGCUGGCGGCAUGCCUAAUACAUGCAAGUCGAACGAGAGGAAGGAAAGCUUGCUUUUCUGAAUCUAGUGGCGAACGGGUGAGUAACACGUAGGUAACCUGCCCAUGUGCCCGGGAUAACUUCUGGAAACGGAUGCUAAAACCGGAUAGGUAGCAGACAAGCAUUUGACUGCUAUUAAAGUAGCUAAGGCCAUGAACAUGGAUGGACCUGCGGUGCAUUAGCUAGUUGGUGAGGUAACGGCCCACCAAGGCGACGAUGCAUAGCCGGCCUGAGAGGGCGGACGGCCACAUUGGGACUGAGACACGGCCCAAACUCCUACGGGAGGCAGCAGUAGGGAAUUUUCGUCAAUGGGGGGAACCUUGAACGAGCAAUGCCGCGUGAGUGAGGAAGGUCUUCGGAUCGUAAAGCUCUGUUGUAAGAGAAAAACGACAUUCAUAGGGAAUGAUGAGUGAGUGAUGGUAUCUUACCAGAAAGUCACGGCUAACUACGUGCCAGCAGCCGCGUAA